GUCCACGCCCUAAACUAUGUCAACUGGUUGUUGGGGAAGGUUCCUUCUCAGUAACGUAGCUAACGCGUGAAGUUCACCGCCUGGGGAGUACGGCCGCAAGGUUGAAAACUCAAAGGAAUUGACGGGGACCCGCACAAGCGGUGGAUGAUGUGGUUUAAUUCGAUGCAACGCGAAAAACCUUCCUACCCUUGACAUGUCAAGAAUCUUGCAGAGAUGUGAGAGUGCUCGAAAGAGAACUUGAACACAGGUGCUGCAUGGCCGUCGU
Molecule: ribosomal RNA, 265 nt
Filed under: uncultured bacterium
Lineage: Bacteria
Description: partial 16S ribosomal RNA
Rfam family: Bacterial small subunit ribosomal RNA
Source: RNAcentral